Molecule: long non-coding RNA, 1166 nt
Filed under: Sus scrofa (pig)
Lineage: Eukaryota; Metazoa; Chordata; Mammalia; Artiodactyla; Suidae
Description: lncRNA (ENSSSCG00060040404.1)
Source: RNAcentral
AAACAGGAUUUUCCUUGGCUCUUCACCUGAGAAUCUGGGGAUACAACACGUGACAGCAUGGGGCUCCCCUAAGACUGUGGUCCCAGGCAUUUCUCCUCUCCAGCUCACCCACCUGUCACCCAGUGUGGACAUCGCCACCUCUGCGUCCUUGCCAUUUCCGGCUGCAGUGCUUCUCCCCAGUGUCCAGGUGGCCCGAGGGCGGCACGUGGAGGUCGGCUGCUUUUUCCUAAGACCUGUUUUGCUCCUGCCUCGUGGAGGAACAGCCCAUGGUGCUCCUCCGUGUGUUUGGCUCCGUGGACGACGGAAUAGUGAGCCCCGAGUGUUCUUCGUCAGCAGUUUUAAUGAGGAGAGACUCGCGAGGAUCUGCUUCCGCUUCACCCCAGAGCAGACCCGGAGGAAGAACGUUUUCUGCAUCCGGAAAAUUCUGCAACCCUGGGGAGGCCGCCUUCUUCGGAGCCCGCCCUCCCCAGCCGUUUACCAGGCUGCCUUCUUGAUGACAGACCGAACAUGUGAAACUUUGGGCGACAAGGAGGCUGAUCAUUAGGACCCCAUCGAGCAGUGAUUUUAUACCCUGAUAGGUUACUUGGUAACAAUGACAUUAAACUUGCUGUGUAAUGAGAUGUUUAUCAGCCACGCCACUGCGAUCUGCACAGCGAAGGCUCCAGUGGGGUCCUGCUGAAUUCGUCUCAUGUGCAACCCGCUCCUUCCUGGCGAGUCCGGCGACCCGUGUCCUCGAGAAAAAAAACCACAGUUGCCUGAUGCCUGCUUCGUUCACGCCUCGUCUGAGCUGCCGCAGUCUCCUCGUUCCUGUCUGGGACCUAAAGCAUCUAUUUCUGAUCUUCGGGAAGCCAAAGGCCACAUCUGUGACAACGCCUUCAGAUUUUACCCAGAAAACCCACUUGGUUGGGCUUUGCUUCGCUGAUGUCUUGUCCUGUUUUCAAGCUGCAGUUGGGACGGUAGGGGGACGUGUGACCCUCUGCUGGGAUGGAGGCCCAGGGUGGAGGAGCUGGUGCCUGCUGGGAGGCCCAGGGCAGCCUGAGAAGGGGGGCUCUAUUAUUUUGGAUUUGCUGCUUGUUUGGAAGAGAAAAGCGUGCCGCUGUUUUGCACAUUCAUUUUCUCGACAAAGUAACAGGUUCCUGGAAAGACCACGUCUUUGGCCUGUCUGA